Molecule: ribosomal RNA, 464 nt
Filed under: uncultured bacterium
Lineage: Bacteria
Description: partial 16S ribosomal RNA
Rfam family: Bacterial small subunit ribosomal RNA
Source: RNAcentral
CUACGGGUCGCUGCAGUGGGGAAUAUUGCACAAUGGGCGCAAGCCUGAUGCAGCCAUGCCGCGUGUAUGAAGAAGGCCUUCGGGUUGUAAAGUACUUUCAGCGGGGAGGAAGGGAGUAAAGUUAAUACCUUUGCUCAUUGACGUUACCCGCAGAAGAAGCACCGGCUAACUCCGUGCCAGCAGCCGCGGUAAUACGGAGGGUGCAAGCGUUAAUCGGAAUUACUGGGCGUAAAGCGCACGCAGGCGGUUCGUUAAGUCAGAUGUGAAAUCCCCAGGCUCAACCUGGGAACUGCAUCUGAUACUGGCAGGCGUGAGUCUCGUAGAGGGGGGUAGAAUUCCAGGUGUAGCGGUGAAAUGCGUAGAGAUCUGGAGGAAUACCGGUGGCGAAGGCGGCCCCCUGGACGAAGACUGACGCUCAGGUGCGAAAGCGUGGGGAGCAGACAGGAUUAGAUACCCCGGUAGUC